This 373-nucleotide ribosomal RNA is filed under the name uncultured organism. RNAcentral describes it as "partial 16S ribosomal RNA". It matches the Rfam family "Bacterial small subunit ribosomal RNA", at positions 527 to 896 of the family's 1533-position model. The record is from RNAcentral.
GUAGGUGGCAAGCGUUGUCCGGAAUUAUUGGGCGUAAAGCGCGCGCAGGCGGUUCCUUAAGUCUGAUGUGAAAGCCCACGGCUCAACCGUGGAGGGUCAUUGGAAACUGGAGAACUUGAGUACAGAAGAGGAAAGCGGAAUUCCACGUGUAGCGGUGAAAUGCGUAGAGAUGUGGAGGAACACCAGUGGCGAAGGCGGCUUUCUGGUCUGUAACUGACGCUGAGGCGCGAAAGCGUGGGGAGCAAACAGGGAUUAGAUACCCUGGUAGUCCACGCCGUAAACGAUGAGUGCUAAGUGUUAGGGGGUUUCCGCCCCCUUAGUGCUGCAGCUAACGCAUUAAGCACUCCGCCUGGGGAGUACGGCCGCAAGGCUG